AAUCAUGACUCUGUGUUAUACUGUAUUCAGAGCUUUCGUCUAGCGGCAAACCGUUCCUCCUCCAGUUAAUGGACGCCUUUACAUCUUCAACAGGAUAUAUAUAGUAGACACUGUAGCAGGACAACGUCACACUCCUGUCCACGUGGGCUGUGUCUGGUGCAGCGAUGUACGGCUGUUGGAAAUCUUCGGCAUCUCCAA
Haliotis rubra (blacklip abalone) is the source of this 198-nucleotide long non-coding RNA. RefSeq lists it as uncharacterized. The transcript has 3 exons. NCBI's taxonomy places the organism in Eukaryota, Metazoa, Mollusca, Gastropoda, Lepetellida, Haliotidae. The record is from RefSeq and is a predicted model, not a curated record.